GACGAACGCUGGCGGCGUGCUUAACAUAUGCAAGUCGAACGGAAAGGCCCUGCUUUUGUGGGGUGCUCGAGUGGCGAACGGGUGAGUAACACGUGAGUAACCUGCCCUUGACUUUGGGAUAACUUCAGGAAACUGGGGCUAAUACCGGAUAGGAGCUCCUGCUGCAUGGUGGGGGUUGGAAAGUUUCGGCGGUUGGGGAUGGACUCGCGGCUUAUCAGCUUGUUGGUGGGGUAGUGGCUUACCAAGGCUUUGACGGGUAGCCGGCCUGAGAGGGUGACCGGCCACAUUGGGACUGAGAUACGGCCCAGACUCCUACGGGAGGCAGCAGUGGGGAAUAUUGCACAAUGGGCGGAAGCCUGAUGCAGCAACGCCGCGUGCGGGAUGACGGCCUUCGGGUUGUAAACCGCUUUCGCCUGUGACGAAGCGUGAGUGACGGUAAUGGGUAAAGAAGCACCGGCUAACUACGU
Molecule: ribosomal RNA, 467 nt
Filed under: uncultured bacterium
Lineage: Bacteria
Description: partial 16S ribosomal RNA
Rfam family: Bacterial small subunit ribosomal RNA
Source: RNAcentral